Molecule: ribosomal RNA, 443 nt
Filed under: uncultured bacterium
Lineage: Bacteria
Description: partial 16S ribosomal RNA
Rfam family: Bacterial small subunit ribosomal RNA
Source: RNAcentral
CCUACGGGAGGCAGCAGUGGGGAAUAUUGGGCAAUGGGCGCAAGCCUGACCCAGCAAAGCCGCGUGAAGGAAGAAGGCUUUCGGGUUGUAAACUUCUUUUCUGAGGGACGAAGAAAGUGACGGUACCUCAGGAAUAAGCCACGGCUAACUACGGGCCAGCGGACGCGGUCAUACGUAGGUGGCAAGCGUUAUCCGGAUUUAUGGGGUGUAAAGGGCGUGUAGGCGGGAAAGCAAGUCAGAUGUGAAAACUCAGGGCUUAACCCUGAGCCUGCAUUUGAAACUGUUUUUCUUGAGUGCUGGAGAGGCAAUCGGAAUUCCGGGUGUAGCGGUGAAAUGCGUAGAUAUACGGAGGAACACCAGUGGCGAAGGCGGAUUGCUGGACAGUAACUGACGCUGAGGCGCGAAAGCGUGGGGAGCAAACAGGAUUAGAUACCCUUGUAGUC